GAGUUUGAUCAUGGCUCAGAUUGAACGCUGGCGGCAGGCCUAACACAUGCAAGUCGAGCGGUAACAGGGGUAGCUUGCUACCCGCUGACGAGCGGCGGACGGGUGAGUAAUGCAUGGGUAUCUGCCCGGUAGUGGGGGAUAACUCGGGGAAACCCGAGCUAAUACCGCAUACGUCCUACGGGAGAAAGCAGGGGAUCUUCGGACCUUGCGCUAUCGGAUGAGCCCAUGUCGGAUUAGCUUGUUGGUGAGGUAAUGGCUCACCAAGGCCGCGAUCCGUAGCUGGUCUGAGAGGAUGAUCAGCCACACCGGGACUGAGACACGGCCCGGACUCCUACGGGGGGCAGCAGA
Molecule: ribosomal RNA, 348 nt
Filed under: uncultured bacterium
Lineage: Bacteria
Description: bacterial SSU rRNA
Rfam family: Bacterial small subunit ribosomal RNA
Source: RNAcentral